Molecule: ribosomal RNA, 480 nt
Filed under: uncultured bacterium
Lineage: Bacteria
Description: partial 16S ribosomal RNA
Rfam family: Bacterial small subunit ribosomal RNA
Source: RNAcentral
AUUGAACGCUGGCGGAAUGCUUUACACAUGCAAGUCGAACGGUAGAGGGGGCAACCCCUUGAGAGUGGCGAACGGGAGAGUAAUAUAUCGGCACGUGCCCAGUCGUCGGGGAUAACGUAGCGCAAGUUACGCUAAUACCGCAUACGAUCUAAGGAUGAAAGCGGGGGAUCGCAAGACCUCGCGCGACUGGAGCGGCCGAUAUCAGAUUAGGUAGUUGGUAGGGUAAAGGCCUACCAAGCCAACGAUCUGUAGCUGGUCUGAGAGGACGACCAGCCACACUGGAACUGAGACACGGUCCAGACUCCUACGGGAGGCAGCAGUGGGGAAUUUUGGACAAUGGGCGAAAGCCUGAUCCAGCCAUUCCGCGUGCAGGAUGAAGGCCCUCGGGUUGUAAACUGCUUUUGUACAGAACGAAAAGGUUUCUAUUAAUACGAGGAGCUCAUGACGGUACUGUAAGAAUAAGCACCGGCUAACUACGUG